This is a long non-coding RNA of Gorilla gorilla gorilla (western lowland gorilla), 780 nucleotides long. RefSeq lists it as uncharacterized. Lineage: Eukaryota; Metazoa; Chordata; Mammalia; Primates; Hominidae. The record is from RefSeq and is a predicted model, not a curated record. The transcript has 2 exons.
AUGUGUUGUGGGAGGAUCCCAGGGGAGAUAAUUGAAUCAUGGGGGCUGGUCUUUGCCGUGCUAUUCUCGUGAUAGUGAAUAAGUCUCACAUGAUCUGAUGGGUUUAUCAGGGGUUUCCUCUUUUGCUUCUUCCUCAUUUUUCUCUUGCUGCCACCAUGUAAGAAGUGCCUUUUGCCUCCUACCGUGAUUCUGAGGCCUCCCCAGCCAUGUGGAACUGUCUGUAUCAUGUUUAUGAGCUGUCACACCACAAAGGUCUGCAGUGUCACUCCUGAAAGCAGUGAGAUCACAAAUCCACCAGGAGGAACAAACGACUCUGGAAGUGCUGCUUUUAUGAGCUGUAACACUCACUGCGAAGGUCUGCAGCUUCACUGUUGAGGUCAGUGAGACCACAAACCCACCAGAAGGAAGAAAGUCCAGACACAUCUGAACAUGUGAAGGAACAUUCUGGACACACCAUCUUUAAGAACUGUAACACUCACCGUCAGGGUCCGCGGCUUCAUUAAGUCAACAAGACCAAGAACCCACUGAUUCUGGACACACCGGAACCAUACAUCUGCUCCUAACGGUUUCUCUGGCAAGAACAGGGUGACCUAGUCAUACCUUUUGCCCAUUACCACCUGGCGAUACAGGAGGGCUUUAGCGUGGUUCAGCUGCCAUAACUCUCAUGUUCUUGGGUGGUUUCCAUUAUCGGCCAGUCAGUUUUCCCAAUCGUGUGUGAUUUUUUGGGGGUAGAGGAGGGUCUGCUACAAAGCUAUAAAUAUAUUCAUAUGUAUACACACA